GAUGAACGCUGGCGGCGUGCUUAACACAUGCAAGUCGAACGGAAAGGCCCAAGCUUGCUUGGGUACUCGAGUGGCGAACGGGUGAGUAACACGUGGGUGAUCUGCCCUGCACUUCGGGAUAAGCCUGGGAAACUGGGUCUAAUACCGGUUAGGACCACAUUUUGGAUGGUGUGGUGGAAAGUUUUUCGGUGUGGGAUGAGCUCGCGGCCUAUCAGCUUGUUGGUGGGGUAAUGGCCUACCAAGGCGUCGACGGGUAGCCGGCCUGAGAGGGUGUACGGCCACAUUGGGACUGAGAUACGGCCCAGACUCCUACGGGAGGCAGCAGUGGGGAAUAUUGCACAAUGGGCGCAAGCCUGAUGCAGCGACGCCGCGUGGGGGAUGACGGCCUUCGGGUUGUAAACUCCUUUCGCUAGGGACGAAGCGUUAUGUGACGGUACCUGGAGAAGAAGCACCGGCUAACUACGUG
Molecule: ribosomal RNA, 466 nt
Filed under: uncultured bacterium
Lineage: Bacteria
Description: partial 16S ribosomal RNA
Rfam family: Bacterial small subunit ribosomal RNA
Source: RNAcentral